AUUGAAAUACUAGUUCUCAUACAAUCACCAAAGUUAAACAACAUCAAGCCUGAUCAGUAUCUAGAUGGGUGACCACCUGGGAAUACCAGUUGUUGUAAG
This is a non-coding RNA of Acanthosepion pharaonis, 99 nucleotides long. The record is from the annotation of a GenBank genome assembly. NCBI's taxonomy places the organism in Eukaryota, Metazoa, Mollusca, Cephalopoda, Sepiida, Sepiidae.